UGGGGAAUAUUGGGCAAUGGGCGAAAGCCUGACCCAGCAACGCCGCGUGAAGGAUGAAGUAUUUCGGUAUGUAAACUUCGAAAGAAUAGGAAGAAUAAAUGACGGUACUAUUUAUAAGGUCCGGCUAACUACGUGCCAGCAGCCGCGGUAAUACGUAGGGACCAAGCGUUGUUCGGAUUUACUGGGCGUAAAGGGCGCGUAGGCGGCAAUUCAAGUCAUCUGUGAAAUCUCCGGGCUUAACUCGGAACGGUCAGAUGAUACUGCUUUGCUAGAGUGCAGAAGGGGCAAUCGGAAUUCUUGGUGUAGCGGUGAAAUGCGUAGAUAUCAAGAGGAACACCUGAGGUGAAGACGGGUUGCUGGGCUGACACUGACGCUGAGGCGCGAAAGCCAGGGGAGCAAACGGGAUUAGAUACCCUCGUAGUCCCUGAGCGGGCUGGCAAGGCGCAU
This 447-nucleotide ribosomal RNA is filed under the name uncultured bacterium. RNAcentral describes it as "bacterial SSU rRNA". It matches the Rfam family "Bacterial small subunit ribosomal RNA", at positions 355 to 825 of the family's 1533-position model. The record is from RNAcentral.